UACGUAGGGCGCAAGCGUUAUCCGGAAUUAUUGGGCGUAAAGAGCUCGUAGGCGGUUUGUCGCGUCUGCCGUGAAAGUCCGGGGCUCAACUCCGGAUCUGCGGUGGGUACGGGCAGACUAGAGUGAUGUAGGGGAGACUGGAAUUCCUGGUGUAGCGGUGAAAUGCGCAGAUAUCAGGAGGAACACCGGUGGCGAAGGCGGUGAUCUGGGCCGACACUGACGCUGUAGAGCGAAAGCGUGGGGAGCGAACAGG
Molecule: ribosomal RNA, 253 nt
Filed under: uncultured bacterium
Lineage: Bacteria
Description: partial 16S ribosomal RNA
Rfam family: Bacterial small subunit ribosomal RNA
Source: RNAcentral